AGUAACGCGUGAGGAACCUGCCUUCCAGAGGGGGACAACAGUUGGAAACGACUGCUAAUACCGCAUGAUACAUUUGAAUCGCAUGGUUUGAAUGUCAAAGAUUUAUCGCUGGAAGAUGGCCUCGCGUCUGAUUAGCUAGUUGGUGAGGUAACGGCCCACCAAGGCGACGAUCAGUAGCCGGACUGAGAGGUUGGCCGGCCACAUUGGGACUGAGAUACGGCCCAGACUCCUACGGGAGGCAGCAG
RNAcentral lists this ribosomal RNA (245 nucleotides) under uncultured bacterium. RNAcentral's name for it is "partial 16S ribosomal RNA". It matches the Rfam family "Bacterial small subunit ribosomal RNA", at positions 109 to 354 of the family's 1533-position model. The record is from RNAcentral.